UACAGAGGGGGCAAGCGUUGUUCGGAAUUACUGGGCGUAAAGGGCGCGUAGGCGGCCCGCUAAGUCGAACGUGAAAUCCCCGAGCUCAACUCGGGAACUGCGUCCGAUACUGGUGGGCUUGAAUCCGGGAGAGGGAUGCGGAAUUCCAGGUGUAGCGGUGAAAUGCGUAGAUAUCUGGAGGAACACCGGUGGCGAAGGCGGCAUCCGGGACCGGCAUUGACGCUGAGGCGCGAAAGCUAGGGGAGCAAACGGG
Molecule: ribosomal RNA, 253 nt
Filed under: uncultured bacterium
Lineage: Bacteria
Description: partial 16S ribosomal RNA
Rfam family: Bacterial small subunit ribosomal RNA
Source: RNAcentral